RNAcentral lists this ribosomal RNA (296 nucleotides) under Wolbachia pipientis. RNAcentral's name for it is "partial 16S ribosomal RNA". It matches the Rfam family "Bacterial small subunit ribosomal RNA", at positions 524 to 819 of the family's 1533-position model. Lineage: Bacteria; Pseudomonadati; Pseudomonadota; Alphaproteobacteria; Rickettsiales; Anaplasmataceae. The record is from RNAcentral.
UACGGAGAGGGCUAGCGUUAUUCGGAAUUAUUGGGCGUAAAGGGCGCGUAGGCUGGUUAAUAAGUUAAAAGUGAAAUCCCGAGGCUUAACCUUGGAAUUGCUUUUAAAACUAUUAAUCUAGAGAUUGAAAGAGGAUAGAGGAAUUCCUGAUGUAGAGGUAAAAUUCGUAAAUAUUAGGAGGAACACCAGUGGCGAAGGCGUCUAUCUGGUUCAAAUCUGACGCUGAAGCGAGAAGGCGUGGGGAGCAAACAGGAUUAGAUACCCUGGUAGUCCACGCUGUAAACGAUGAGUGCUAA